GUCAGAAUGGCCCAGUGGUAUAAGGCGUCAGACUCAAGUUCUAGUCCUCGUAAGAGGGUGUGGCUUCAAUUCCCACUUCUGACA
Picea glauca (white spruce) is the source of this 84-nucleotide non-coding RNA. NCBI's taxonomy places the organism in Eukaryota, Viridiplantae, Streptophyta, Pinopsida, Pinales, Pinaceae. The record is from Rfam.